This 885-nucleotide ribosomal RNA is filed under the name uncultured Sulfurovum sp. Its description in RNAcentral is "bacterial SSU rRNA". It matches the Rfam family "Bacterial small subunit ribosomal RNA", at positions 513 to 1398 of the family's 1533-position model. The record is from RNAcentral. Lineage: Bacteria; Pseudomonadati; Campylobacterota; Epsilonproteobacteria; Campylobacterales; Sulfurovaceae.
CGCCGCGGUAAUACGGAGGGUNCAAGCGUUACUNGGAAUCACUGGGCGUAAAGCGCGCGCAGGCGGCNUUUUAAGUUGGAUGUGAAAGCCUAUGGCUCAACCAUAGAACUGCAUCCAAAACUAUUAGGCUAGAGUGUGGGAGAGGAAGAUGGAAUUAGUUGUGUAGGGGUAAAAUCNGUAGAGAUAACUAGGAAUACCAAAAGCGAAGGCANUCUUCUGGAACAUUACUGACGCUGAGGCGCGAAAGCGUGGGGAGCAAACAGGAUUAGAUACCCUGGUAGUCCACGCCCUAAACGAUGAAUGUUAGUCGUCGGGUAGCUAGUCUAUUCGGUGGUGCAGCUAACGCAUUAAACAUUCCGCCUGGGGAGUACGGUCGCAAGAUUAAAACUCAAAGGAAUAGACGGGGACCCGCACAAGUGGUGGAGCAUGUGGUUUAAUUCGAAGAUACGCGAAGAACCUUACCUAGCCUUGACAUAUAUUAGAACUCAGCAGAGAUGCAGAGGUGCCUUCGGGAGCUUUUAUACAGGUGCUGCACGGCUGUCGUCAGCUCGUGUCGUGAGAUGUUGGGUUAAGUCCCGCAACGAGCGCAACCCUCGUCACUAGUUACUAACGGUUCGGCCGAGGACUCUAGUGAGACUGCCUUCGUAAGGAGGAGGAAGGUGAGGACGACGUCAAGUCAUCAUGGCCCUUACGGCUAGGGCAACACACGUGCUACAAUGGCCAGGACAGUGAGACGCAAUACCGCGAGGUGGAGCAAAUCUAUAAACCUGGUCUCAGUUCGGAUUGUAGUCUGCAACUCGACUACAUGAAGCUGGAAUCACUAGUAAUCGUAGAUCAGCUAUGCUACGGUGAAUACGUUCCCGGGUCUUGUACACACCGCCCGUC